ACAAGAGGAGGAAGGUGGGGAUGACGCCAAAUCAGCGUGUUCCUUUGAUGUCCUGGGCGACACACAUGGUACAAUGGUUAAGACAAUGGGUUGCCAAGCCGUAAGGUGGAGCUAAUCCCAUCAAACUUAGCCUCAGUUCGGAUUGAGGGCUGCAACUCGCCCUCAUGAAGCCGGAAUCGCUAGUAAUCGCGGAUCAGCUAUGCCGCGGUGAAUACGUUCUCGGGUUUUGUACACACCGCCCGUCACGCCAAGAGAGUCGGUAAUACCCAAAAUCCCCCAUUUAAUUAAGGGGCCUAAGGUAGGAUCGAUGAUAGGGGCGAAGUCGUAACAAGGCAUCGGUAGCGGAAGCUGUCGAUGGAUCACCUCCUUU
Molecule: ribosomal RNA, 370 nt
Filed under: Patescibacteria group bacterium
Lineage: Bacteria
Description: bacterial SSU rRNA
Rfam family: Bacterial small subunit ribosomal RNA
Source: RNAcentral